Molecule: RNA transcript, 2771 nt
Organism: Rhododendron vialii
Lineage: Eukaryota; Viridiplantae; Streptophyta; Magnoliopsida; Ericales; Ericaceae
Gene name: F-box/kelch-repeat protein At3g27150-like
Exons: 4
Source: RefSeq, a predicted model, not a curated record
GGUAUCAAUGAAAUCGAACUCAAUCAAAGUCAAUCUUUUUUUUUGGGUAAUCUUCUUCUUCUUCUUCUUCUUUUUUGAACACAAUCCACUUCAUGUGCCCUUCCACACCCAAUUUUCUAACUCCUCUACACAGAAGAAACACAGCCAUUCCGUUUGGUUCACCGUUUUAAGAGAGUAAUUUUUAUUUUCGACACAGUUUUCAAUAAAUUUCUCUCUCUAUCUUUCUACUCAUUACCACUUAACUCUUAAAAAUAACUUUUUAAACCCUCAACUAAACAAAGUGAGCAUCUCUCUCUGUCUCUCUCUCUCACUCUGAGAGAUGCUUUUGGGAAAUCGACGAUGCUGAUGCUCUUGCCAUUGUCGUUGGGUUUUAGUAUAAUCUUGGAGUACAGCUUCCACUACUUUAUAGAUAAACCCCCACCAGAACAACCUUUUGGAAUUGGAAUACAAUAUUACAGAAGUACUACUACUUAUUCCCACCUCUUCAUUCCCUUUAAUGGCGGCUCUUUCCCCCCAUAUCUCACUAAAACUCUCUCUCUCUCUCUCUCUCUCUCUCUCUCUCUCUGUGGAAAAAAAGUUGGCUAACUACUUUCUGCACGCAGCACCCAUUUGAUUAAACCCCAACACUUCAAACUCGGAAGACUUCCUCGAUCCCCUUGACUUCUUUUAUUUCUCUGAGGUCUCAUCAAUGGUCAAGGGAAAAGAGAGAGAAAAUGGGGAAGGGAGUGAGGGUAUCGAUGAAUAUUGCUACCGUAUGAGCAAAAAUGGUGUCCAAGAUACGGAUUCGCCACCUCAAAAGAUGAGGAUUUCCAAAACUAAUGAGAACUGGCUUGGACUUCCUUCCACAAACAGCAGGGUUAGUGGUCCAUCAAAUGUAGAACCCCAGGAUGCAGAUUACACGUACAUUCCCUCACUGAAUUUGGAAUUACAGAGCCUGAUCUUGGCUCGAAUGCCCCGGUCAGAAUACUGGAAAUUAUGCUUUGUGAACCGGAGGUAUUUAUCUAUUUUGAAGAGUGGCGAGCUAUUCAAGAUUAGGAGAGAGAUCGGAAUCAAGGAACCUUCUCUUUUCUUGGGAGCCUUAGGGGAGAACAGUUGGUGGGAAUUCGAUCACGAAUUCAAGACCAAGAGAAAACUGCCGAUUUUCCAAACAGAUAUUUCUUUCCUUAAUGGAGAUAGAGAGUCGUUUUCUGCAGGAACCCAUCUGCUUGUUUCAGGCAAAGAAUUGGAUGGUCUUGUCGUUUGGAGAUAUGAAUUGGCUAUGAACAGAUGGUAUAAGGGUCCUUCUAUGAUAAGCCCAAGGUGCUUGUUUGCCUCUGCCACAUGUGGCACCUUCGCUUUUAUAGCAGGUGGAAUUGGAAAGGAGCCAAACAGUGAAGUCUACGAUACUGCUGAGAAAUAUAAUCCAGAGAGUAAAUCGUGGGACCCCCUUCCGCGGAUGAAUAAGAGGAGGCAGCUUUGCGCUGGGUGUUACAUGGACGAUAGGUUCUACGUGAUUGGAGGGAGAAACAAGGACGGUGAGCUCAUGUGUGGGGAAUUUUUCGACGAGGUUCAAAACAAAUGGGUACUGAUUCCGGAUAUGUGGAAAGAUGAUCCGGUUCUGAGUAGCCAUUCGCCUCCUCUUGUGGCCAUUGUGAAUAACGCUCUUUACUCGCUUGAAGCUUCAUCCAAUCAGCUGAAGGUAUAUGAGAAGAGUAGUAAUACUUGGAAGCCGUUGGGUUUAGUCCCGGUGAGAGCUGAUAUCAGUAGAGGUUGGAGUGUUGGGUUUAAAUCUUUGGGGGAUGAAUUGCUUGUGAGGGGCUUAGCUGCUUCUGUUUCUGGUGCUUGGAAUCGUGUAGCUUACAGUUGCUGCCCUGAUCCUGAUGCUGGGGAGUUGAAGUGGAACCUUCUUCAUGACAGAAAGAUAAGUCAGGUGACUCAGUUCAUUAUCAACAGUUGUGUCAUGGUAGCUUAAGGGCAGAACUCUUAUCGGGUUGGGUAACUAGAGUACCUGAAUAACAGGAUUGAACAUCAUUGCUGUCUGGUAAGGCAUGGCAUUCGGCCAACGCUCAUGGUUUCAACUUCUUCCCUGUCACCAAGAGCAUUGAGGUGUUGGCCGUUUUCAAAAGAGGACCCGGGGUAAGCUCGAAGAAAUAGAUAUUAGGAAAAAAGAACGAGAACUCGUCAUGAGUUUCCAAUCGUGGUCUGGCAGAAAGUGUCAGCAAUGUUCAGAUAAGGAUAUCAUCAACCCAGGCACCAUGCAUGCUAAAUGCUGUCACUGUAAGGGCAAGAAAGUUCAUCACUUCAGGCUCAUUUUCGAUGGCCGGAGAAACCUCACACUAUCAUCAUCAGAAGUCACGAAAAAUGGAAUGCAAGCUGCUUCUUCACAGAGAGUUCCCAGAGUGGCAAAUGGCUGUGUUUCAAACUUGGUUACUCCACAUCUUUCUUAGAGGAUUUGCCUGGAAGUGAAAAAUUGAUCGGUGUUGCGCAAACAAUGUGAAGGUGAUCGUACGUUCCCCAACAGCAAAAGAAUAUAAUCAUGUCAAGUUCUAAUCUUUUCUUAUUGUUGACAAGGGACUGCGACUAUCGGGCAGCUGUUGCAAUGGUUUGAUCGUUGGGGCCAAAAUUUUGCCCUUUUUUAAAAAAAAAAAAAAUUCGAUGGAUACAAGCUGUUUGUUGAAGUUGUUUCUGCAAAGCUUGAUUUUAUUUGUAUUCAGUUUAGAUCACAUUUUUCUCCUAUAAACAGGGUUCUCCUAUCCUCCGGAUCCGCAGCAACUUCUGCUCCAGUUUUGCAA